AUGAACGCUGACAGAAUGCUUAACACCUGCAAGUCGAUGGGGAAGUGGUGCUUGCACCAUGGUAACCAUGGCGGACGGGUGAGUAACGCGUAAGGAACUUGCCUGCGGGACUGGGAUAACAGCAGGAAACUGCUGAUAAUACCGGAUAAGGUCAUUAAGCUGCAUAGCUUAGUGAUGAAAGGAGACGCCUGCGGAGAGCCUUGCGUCCUAUUAGCUAGUUGGAGGGGUAACGGCCCACCAAGGCGAAGAUAGGUAGCCGGCCUGAGAGGGUGGACGGCCACAAGGGGACUGAGAUACGGCCCUUACUCCUACGGGAGGCAGCAGUGGGGAAUAUUGGACAAUGGGGGCAACCCUGAUCCAGCAAUUCUGUGUGCACGAAGACGGUUUUCGGAUUGUAAAGUGCUUUCAGCGGGGAAGAAGGAAGUGACGGUACCUGCAGAAGAAGCGACGGCUAAAUACGUG
This 462-nucleotide ribosomal RNA is filed under the name uncultured bacterium. RNAcentral describes it as "partial 16S ribosomal RNA". It matches the Rfam family "Bacterial small subunit ribosomal RNA", at positions 29 to 507 of the family's 1533-position model. The record is from RNAcentral.